UCACCAUUGGAUGGUUACCUUAUAAAGCUACCGAGAGCAUGUGACAACGAGUAGUAUCUAUUCUGUGCUUUACAGCUUUAUCAGCAGUUGGGGUGUUCGUUCCUUAAGUUUUGUGGACCAGAAGCCGACUUUAAACUUUUCGAUAUAUUUCUGGCGCAUUAUAAGUAUAGUAAACAUUUAAAAAAUGUUUAAAAUCACCUACAAAGUUACAUUUAAUAACAAUAUUCGUAUAUGUAACGUUUUUUACACAAACAAAACAUAUGUACAAUGACGUCAUAUAUAAGCCGGCCAGGCGGUCGUCUUUUAAGUUGUUUUAAAUCUUAAUUUUACUCUCGUAAAAUAUGUUUGGUACAUUAUUUGCGUAAAAUAUAACUAAUUUUAACACUUUAUUGUUUUAUUUUAGCGAAAUCGAUAAAAAAACAGAUAAAAUCUAAUACCAUAUUAAUCCGCCAAAGAUCUACGUUUUACAUUUAUGCAUUAUGACGUAACAGUUACUAUAUUCUUUAAUAAUCUAACCGACCAAUCAGUGAUGAGGUUGGAAAUUUGUUGCGGAAUAUUCCAGAAAUCUUUCUUUUCAACAAAACCUUUGAAGGGAAAGCUGCGUUUUUGUUUCCUGCGACAAAAAUUAAGUUUUCUUCCGAUUUUAGCUUAAAAGCGACUUCUGGAACAGGAAUUCUUGCACUUGAAAUCAUUUGUACUGAUGACGACUAUAUGACGUCAUGAACUCCAAGGUAAGUACGAUCAGCUGAACAUCGAGGAAUGAAGCGAUGUCGAUGUAAAAGUUGAUUUGUUGUGACUUAUCGGCCACAGAAUAAGCGUGGUUUCAAUAGCUUACUGUUCUAUACCUGCGUUUAGUAAGGUUAGGGUCGCGGCAAAAAAUAAAAAACUCGCGACCCCAAACAUCUAACAUUAGGAGCCGAUCACAUCAACUUUAUGACGAAGAAGAUUGAAGCGUCCUUUAAGGUAAGUUUAUUUUACGGUAAAAGGUGUAAACAAACCUAGAUUUGGAAUGGAAUCUGGGUGUAUUGGUUAUUAAGCAUGUUUGGAUGCAGAGAUGAUGACGUCCAGGCUUGCUGCUGCUAUCACAGCAUGUGUUUGGGGGCAAAGUUUUCAUAAUACUGCAGACAAGCAAUGUUUUGUCAAAUUAGUAAGAUAUGUGUGGGAAUUUUAAAAACAACGCCUGUAGUAUAACGACAGUCGCUGGUGUGCGGAUUUAUAUAGGAGCAUUAUUUGCUUAAGGUAAUUACUGUUGCCUAAUUAAUUCAAAAUUGUUAGUAUUAAAAAUAACCUGUUUCAAAUUAAUGUAUCGUGUUUCUCGAAUGAUUUGUUCCGAGUGUUUACUGCAAAUACAUCUUCGUGCAAUUGCCGCA
This is a non-coding RNA of Ciona intestinalis (vase tunicate), 1370 nucleotides long. The record is from RefSeq and is a predicted model, not a curated record. Lineage: Eukaryota; Metazoa; Chordata; Ascidiacea; Phlebobranchia; Cionidae.